CCAUAUCCAGUGGAGUUGUAGUUUAUUACUAUAACCCUCCCAAGUCAAAAGGACACCAAUUUCAAGCCUUGCAACUUGGUGCAGACAGGGUUUUUCCCUCUCAACCCACUCUGCUGGGCCUCUCUACCUGUCCUCUCCUACUGUCUACAGGUCCCGAACAUUAGAAAAUAGAAAAUGUGAUGAUCUUUGUGUGUCUCUGUAAAAUGUGUGUAUGUGUGCGUGUGUUUGGGUGUAACGGGCCUUCUGUUUGGUCGCGUGGCCUGUCCGUCACGGAGCGGGCCAAUGGCAGGCUGCCUUAUAUAAAAUGAGUGUUUUCAGUCUCUCCGGGUUGCAUGUACUGUAUGUGGAGCAGUGUACAGUGAAGCGGAGGCAGAGCGGCUCCGCGAGCUCCUCUCCACUUUCCCAUAGAGAACCCCUGACUGGCCACUGAGGGCGAGCCACACACACGCCCUCGCGCCCGGCGAGCCCGCGAGGUAAGAGCCCCCCAUCUCCAGCCCUUCUCGGGCGCUCUCCCCGCACUUUCUGUUUUCCUACUCACUUGAGAGCCGCCGGGCUGCAGCCCCAAGGACUCCUCGGCAGGAGCAGCGGCGGCGGCGGCGGCAGCCGGUAGGCUGGACUUGAGGAAGACGGAGGGAACCCCGCGCGUCCGGAGCCGCCGCCAGCCGGCCCGCUCCCUGGGCACUUUCCCCCUCCGCCAAAACUUUGGGUCGGGAGAGGUCGGGGGCGAGGGUCGCGGCGGCCGCGCCGGCGGCGGGUGGGGGGCGCGGAGGCAGUGCCCUGCGGGCGGGAGGCUGGGGGCCGGGCUGGGGAGUAGUAGGCCAGCCGGUGCCAGGCUGCGUUUGCAACCAGCACCUCUCGGCACACAGGCAGCGCCGCCCGAGAGGGGCACGGGAGCCGGGGCGCGGGCAGGAGCAGCCCGAGGAAAACAACAACAGAGCCCUCACGCCGGCGGGCGGCUCGUGGCCGCCCGGGGAGCCCCAAACUUCAUCUCGGCUAAAGUCACUAUCAUAUGA
Molecule: long non-coding RNA, 1013 nt
Filed under: Bos grunniens (domestic yak)
Lineage: Eukaryota; Metazoa; Chordata; Mammalia; Artiodactyla; Bovidae
Description: lncRNA (ENSBGRG00000005069.1)
Source: RNAcentral